RNAcentral lists this ribosomal RNA (1353 nucleotides) under Neurosymploca sp. 3 (morphotype 'magnifica'). RNAcentral describes it as "16S ribosomal RNA". Lineage: Eukaryota; Metazoa; Arthropoda; Insecta; Lepidoptera; Zygaenidae. The record is from RNAcentral.
GGGGGGAAAUUAAUUAUUUUUAUUUAAUAAAAAAAUUUUUUAGUUUAUAGAGUUUAAGUAUUUUUAGGGGGAAAAUUUUAAAUUUUAUAGUAAAUUAGUAUUGUAAAAUAAUUUUUAAAUAUUUGAAAAAUAAUUUAAUUUAAAGUAAUUUUUAUUUAGUGUAUCUUGUGUAUCAGAGUUUAUUAAUUAAUGUUUUUUUAUAAAAAUUUCUCGAAUUAAAAAGAGUUAUUUAAUUAUAAAAUUUAUUGUAGUAUAAAUAUUUUUAAUAGUUAAAUUGUAAUGAAAUGUUAAUCGUUUUUUAAGAUAUCUAGUUUUUUUAGAAAAAAAUUUAAUUUUAAAUUUUAAAAAUUAUUUAAUUUUUUUUUUAAUUUUUUAUUUUAAUAUUUUAAUAUUUUAAGGGAUAAGCUUUAAAUUAAAUUUUUAUAAAAUUAUUUAUUUUUAAUUAAUAAUUUUAUAAUUUAUAUUGUUAAAUAAAUUUUAAUUUAUUAUAAAUAAUUUUAAUUAAAUAAAAAUUUUAAUAAAUUUUUAAUUUUUUAUAAAAAAAUAAUUUUUAAUAAAAUAUAUUUAGAUAAAAUGAUAAAAUUAGUAUAUAAUAUUGUAUAGUUAAAUUUAAUUUUUAUUUAAUUUAUUUAUAAAGAAUUCGGCAAAAAUUUAUAUUCACCUGUUUAUCAAAAACAUGUCUUUUUGUUAAUAAUUUAAAGUCUAAUCUGCCCACUGAUUUUAUAUUAAAGGGCUGCAGUAUUUUGACUGUACAAAGGUAGCAUAAUCAUUAGUCUCUUAAUUGGUGACUUGUAUGAAUGAUUGGAUGAAAUAUAAACUGUUUCAUAAAUAUUUAUAAAAUUUAAUUUUUUUAUUAAAAAGUAAAAAUAAUUAUAAAAGACGAGAAGACCCUAUAGAGUUUAAUAAAAUUAAGAUUUAAUAAUUUUUUAUUUUAUUAAAGUUAAAAGUUUUAGUUUUAUUUUGUUGGGGUGAUAAAAAAAUUAAAUAAACUUUUUUAUAAAAUUUUCAUUGAUAAUUGAAUAUUUGAUCCAAUUUUAUUGAUUAUAAGAAAAAGUUACCUUAGGGAUAACAGCGUAAUUUUUUUUUUUAGUUCAAAUAAAAAAAAAAGUUUGCGACCUCGAUGUUGGAUUAAGAUAAAAUUUAAAUGAAAAAGUUUAAAAUUUUGAUCUGUUCGAUCAUUAAAAUCUUACAUGAUCUGAGUUCAAACCGGUGUAAGCCAGGUUGGUUUCUAUCUUUAUACAGGAGAAAUAUUUUAGUACGAAAGGACCAAGUAUUUAAAAUAAUUUUUAUUGGGGAAAGAAUUUUAUUAAUUUUAUUUUAAAUUUAGUUAUUUAAUUUUUUUUAUUAUAUAUA